GAUGAACGCUGGCGGCGCGCCUAACACAUGCAAGUCGAACGGUUAAAGCACCUUUUAGGUGUGUAUAAAGUGGCGAACGGCUGAGUAACACGUGGGCAACCUGCCCUCCUCUUGGGGAUAGCCUCGGGAAACCGAGGAUAAUACCCGAUACUUCAAUGUGGCCGCAUGACGACAUUGAGAAAGCUUUUGCGGAGAAGGAUGGGCCCGCGGCCUGUUAGCUUGUUGGUGGGGUAGUGGCCUACCAAGGCAAUGAUGGGUAGCUGGGUUGAGAGACCGACCAGCCAGAUUGGGACUGAGACACGGCCCAGACUCCUACGGGAGGCAGCAGUGGGGAAUCUUGCACAAUGGGCGAAAGCCUGAUGCAGCGACGCCGCGUGCGGGACGAAGGCCUUCGGGUUGUAAACCGCUUUCAGCAGGGACGAGGCGAUAAGUGACGGUACCUGCAGAAGAAGCCCCGGCUAACUACGUG
Molecule: ribosomal RNA, 469 nt
Filed under: uncultured bacterium
Lineage: Bacteria
Description: partial 16S ribosomal RNA
Rfam family: Bacterial small subunit ribosomal RNA
Source: RNAcentral